Molecule: ribosomal RNA, 497 nt
Filed under: uncultured bacterium
Lineage: Bacteria
Description: partial 16S ribosomal RNA
Rfam family: Bacterial small subunit ribosomal RNA
Source: RNAcentral
GAUGAACGCUGGCGGCGUGCCUAAUACAUGCAAGUCGAGCGAACAGAUAAGGAGCUUGCUCCUUUGACGUUAGCGGCGGACGGGUGAGUAACACGUGGAUAACCUACCUAUAAGACUGGGAUAACUUCGGGAAACCGGAGCUAAUACCGGAUAACAUAUUGAACCGCAUGGUUCAAUAGUGAAAGGCGGCUUUGCUGUCACUUAUAGAUGGAUCCGCGCCGUAUUAGCUAGUUGGUAAGGUAACGGCUUACCAAGGCAACGAUGCGUAGCCGACCUGAGAGGGUGAUCGGCCACACUGGAACUGAGACACGGUCCAGACUCCUACGGGAGGCAGCAGUAGGGAAUCUUCCGCAAUGGGCGAAAGCCUGACGGAGCAACGCCGCGUGAGUGAUGAAGGUCUUCGGAUCGUAAAACUCUGUUAUCAGGGAAGAACAAAUGUGUAAGUAACUGUGCACGUCUUGACGGUACCUGAUCAGAAAGCCACGGCUAACUACGUG